This is a long non-coding RNA of Anopheles darlingi, 456 nucleotides long. RefSeq lists it as uncharacterized. The record is from RefSeq and is a predicted model, not a curated record. The transcript has 3 exons. NCBI's taxonomy places the organism in Eukaryota, Metazoa, Arthropoda, Insecta, Diptera, Culicidae.
GCGCCGUCCGUGCCGUCCGCGCCUGAGAGGACAACAGCGAAUGCCAUCCAAGAUGAGCCAGCGGUUCGACGAAUAGCUGUUUGCGGGUUUCUUCAUACACAACAACAUAAGCCCUCAACAACAUAACACCCAGGCAAGCGCAGCCGAAAGCCGUAUUUGGAGGAGACCAGCAGCAGCAAGUGUGUCGAUGUUUUAGCAUCAAGGAGACGGGAAGGAAAUGGAUUCUACGCCGUGGAAAUGGGAAACAAGCCGUACCGACGACGGCGACCGGAUGGUAUGAAGGGAGCCCAGCUGAAGGGAGCAAAAAAGCAGCAGCACAUCAACUGCAACGGUCGUCGAUACGAAACACCAACGACGAUGCACGUUUGGCCGCACUCGGAAGCCCUGGCCCUGGCAUUCGGAUUGUUGGUGUCCGCGUUAUCUAUCUGGACAGCAGGCGGCGUUAUUCCCUCCGAC